Carica papaya (papaya) is the source of this 571-nucleotide non-coding RNA. Lineage: Eukaryota; Viridiplantae; Streptophyta; Magnoliopsida; Brassicales; Caricaceae. The record is from RefSeq and is a predicted model, not a curated record.
GUCAGUCAGAGCUACCGUUGCAAUGCUUUGUCUUUCUCAUUUCUUAAUUCUUUCCCAGUUUAUAUUAAUACCGUUAUGCCACUUACAGUUUCUUUUACUCUGUUUCAGAAAACUUCUUCUCCGGAGAAAACAAGAGAGGCUUUGCAGCUUUGGCUUCCUAAGGAAGAAUGGGUCCCAAUCAACCCUCUUUUGGUGGGAUUUGGACAAACAAUUUGUACCCCAGUUAGACCUCACUGCGAAAUUUGCAGUGUUAGCAAGCUUUGUCCAUCUGCAUUCAAGGAGAUCUCAGGACCAUCACCCAAGGUAAAGAAGUCUGGUUCAAGCAAGAAGCAUUCACCAAAUUAGCUUUUCAAACAGCCAUGUCUAUAUUGUUUUGCUGCCAUACAGUCAUUUUUUGGCCUCCGUAUUAUUCUCGACCACUAAUAGUUUGUGGAUGCUUACUUCAGACUAAAAGUAGCUUUUAGGAGUUCAUUAGGCAGACUUCUGGAAAGGAUGCUUUCGUGUGUGUGUGUGUGUGUGUAUAUUUUGAAUUAUAAAAGCAAUUCUCAAAUCGUCUUGAUUCUUGCAGCAA